AAGUCGUAACAAGGUAACCGUAGGUGAACCUGCGGUUGGAUCAUUACCAAAUCCAAACCUGGUGCUUUGGGGAAGUCCCUGCCCGCCUUGUGCGGACCCAGCAGGGGCCCCCCUCAGUGCCUUCCACCCCAUGUGCAAUGUUAUACUGGGGGCACGGCUCGCGUCGUGUCCCCUUUCACAACCAUGUGUUCUCCAAUCACCUGACGUUACCACUCGUGGGGCCUCCCCAUUAGAGCUUAACGAAAAAACAACUUUUGACAACGGAUCUCUUGGCUCUC
This 278-nucleotide unclassified non-coding RNA is filed under the name fungal sp. RNAcentral's name for it is "partial internal transcribed spacer region". The stretch from base 1 to 46 matches the Rfam family "Eukaryotic small subunit ribosomal RNA", at positions 1786 to 1831 of the family's 1831-position model. Lineage: Eukaryota; Fungi. The record is from RNAcentral.